GCCAGGUGUGGUGGCGGGUGCCUAUAGCCCCAGCUACUCAGGAGGUAGAGGCUGGAGGAGCGCUUGAGUCCAAUAGUUCUGGCCUGUAGUGCGCUACGCCGAUCGGGUGUCUGCACUAAAAUUCAGCAUCAAUAUGGUGACCUCCCAGGAGCGGGGGACCACCAGGUUGCCAAAGGAGGGGUGAACCAGCCCAGGUCAGAAACAGAGCAGGUCAAAACUCCCGUGCUGAUUAGUAGUGGAAUGUGCCUGUGAAUAGCCACUGCACUCCAGCCUGGGCAACACAGCGAGAUCCCAUCUCCA
Molecule: unclassified non-coding RNA, 300 nt
Organism: Callithrix jacchus (white-tufted-ear marmoset)
Lineage: Eukaryota; Metazoa; Chordata; Mammalia; Primates; Cebidae
Rfam family: Metazoan signal recognition particle RNA
About the family: The signal recognition particle (SRP) is a universally conserved ribonucleoprotein. It is involved in the co-translational targeting of proteins to membranes.
Source: Ensembl